Molecule: ribosomal RNA, 253 nt
Filed under: uncultured bacterium
Lineage: Bacteria
Description: partial 16S ribosomal RNA
Rfam family: Bacterial small subunit ribosomal RNA
Source: RNAcentral
UACGGGGGGGGCAAGCGUUGUUCGGAAUUACUGGGCGUAAAGGGCUCGUAGGUGGCCAACUAAGUCACACGUGAAAUCCCUCGGCUUAACCGGGGAACUGCGUUUGAUACUGGAUGGCUUGAGUUUGGGAGAGGGAUGCGGAAUUCCAGGUGUAGCGGUGAAAUGCGUAGAUAUCUGGAGGAACACCGGUGGCGAAGGCGGCAUCCUGGACCAAUACUGACGCUGAGGAGCGAAAGCCAGGGGAGCGAACAGG